ACGAAAGUCUGACCGAGCAACGCCGCGUGAGUGAAGAAGGUUUUCGGAUCGUAAAGCUCUGUUGUAAGUCAAGAACGUGUGUGAGAGUGGAAAGUUCACACAGUGACGGUAGCUUACCAGAAAGGGACGGCUAACUACGUGCCAGCAGCCGCGGUAAUACGUAGGUCCCGAGCGUUGUCCGGGUUUAUUGGGCGUAAAGGGAGCGCAGGCGGUCAGGAAAGUCUGGAGUAAGAGGCUAUGGCUCAACCAUAGUGUGCUCUGGAAACUGUCUGACUUGAGUGCAGAAGGGGGGAGUGGAAUUCCAUGUGUAGCGGUGAAAUGCGUAGAUAUAUGGAGGAACACCAGUGGCGAAAGCGGCUCUCUGGUCUGUCACUGACGCUGAGGCUCGAAAGCGUGGGUAGCGAACAGGAUUAGAUACCCUGGUAGUCCACGCCGUAAACGAUGAGUGCUAGGUGUUAGGCCCUUUCCGGGGCUUAGUGCCGGAGCUAACGCAAUAAGCACUCCGCCUGGGGAGUACGACCGCAAGGUUGAAACUCAAAGGAAUUGACGGGGGCCCGCACAAGCGGUGGAGCAUGUGGUUUAAUUCGA
RNAcentral lists this ribosomal RNA (588 nucleotides) under Streptococcus mutans. Its description in RNAcentral is "bacterial SSU rRNA". It matches the Rfam family "Bacterial small subunit ribosomal RNA", at positions 375 to 954 of the family's 1533-position model. Lineage: Bacteria; Bacillati; Bacillota; Bacilli; Lactobacillales; Streptococcaceae. The record is from RNAcentral.